UACGUAGGGGCCGAGCGUUGUCCGGAGUUAUUGGGCGUAAAGCGCGCGCAGGCGGCUUGGCGCGCCCGACGUGAAAGCCCCCGGCUUAACCGGGGAGAGUCGUCGGGGACGGCCGGGCUUGAGGGCGGGAGAGGGUGGUGGAAUUCCCGGUGUAGAGGUGAAAUUCGUAGAUAUUGGGAAGAACACCAGUGGCGAAGGCGGCAUCCUGGACCAACACUGACACUGAGGAGCGAAAGCCAGGGGAGCAAACGGG
Molecule: ribosomal RNA, 253 nt
Filed under: uncultured bacterium
Lineage: Bacteria
Description: partial 16S ribosomal RNA
Rfam family: Bacterial small subunit ribosomal RNA
Source: RNAcentral